AUGGACGCCAUCCGGAAGCAGCUCGACCAGCUCAUGGGCGCCAACCGCAAUGGCGACGUCCGGGAGGUCAGCCGCAAGUACUACGACCGCGACGUCUGCCGCCUCUUCCUCGCCGGCCUAUGCCCCCACGACCUCUUCCAGCUCACCAAGAUGGACAUGGGUCCGUGCCCUAAGCUGCAUUCCUUGCAGCUCCGCAAGGAAUACGAGGAGGCCAAAGCCAAAGGUAUGGACAACUAUGAUCGUGAAUUGGAAGAAACUAUAGAAAGACUGAUAGUUGAGUGCGAGAGAAAGAUUCAAAGAGCCCUUAAGCGUUUGGAGGAGGAAGACGCCAAGGCAGCUAUUGCAAUUUCUAUCACUGAGGUUACACAGAGUAAAGAGGUACUCGAGUUCUCCAAACAAAUUAAGGAGAAGAUGAAGGAGAUAGACACUUUUGACUUUGAUGGAAACACUGAGGGCAAAAUUCGGGCUACUGAAGAGGUUGAUAAACUCAAGGAACAGAGAGCUGAAGAGCAGGCAAAGCUGCUCCUUGAAGCCUUUAAUAAGGACCGUGUUUUGCUAGUGAAUUCUCUCCAAACUGCUACGCAAUCAACAGCACCUGCUGCUCCAGAUGCUCGUACACAAGAAAUGAUUAAUGAAAAGCUCAAAAAAGCAGAGGAACUAGGUGAGAGUGGGAUGAUUGAUGAAGCACAAAAACUGUUGGAUGAAGCAGAAGCUCUGAAGAAGCUGGGUGCGCGGCCACAGCCUGUUCCUGACUCUGCAAAAAUAUCCACUCACGUUCAAAUUACUGAUCAAAAGUUGCGCCUGUGUGACAUAUGUGGAGCAUUCUUGAGCGUGUAUGACAGUGACCGGCGUUUAGCAGAUCAUUUCGGAGGGAAACUCCAUAUGGGUUAUAUGCUAAUACGGGAGAAGUUGUCUGAACUGCAGGAAGAGAAAAACAAAAGGCGCAAGGUGGACCGAACUGAACAUGACAGAAGAUCCAAGGAAAGGAGCACAGAAUGUGAUAGAGCAUCAAGCAGGGACCGUCAUAGAGGAGAUCGAAGCAGCAGUCGUGACAGGCACAGGGAUUAUGACCGUAGAAGUAGCCAUGAUCGCUACCAUGACAGAGAAAGUAGAUAUGGCCAUGAUAAAGAAUCAGGGAGAUCUCGUAGCUAUGAUUCGAGGAGCCGCCGAAGGUCACGUUCCCCAAGGGAUAGUUCUAGGGACUAUGACCGACACGGGCGUCGUGACCGUUGA
Molecule: ribosomal RNA, 1233 nt
Filed under: Triticum aestivum (bread wheat)
Lineage: Eukaryota; Viridiplantae; Streptophyta; Magnoliopsida; Poales; Poaceae
Description: partial small subunit ribosomal RNA
Source: RNAcentral